GACGAACGCUGGCGGCGUGCUUAACACAUGCAAGUCGAACGGAAAGGCCCUGCUUUUGUGGGGUGCUCGAUUGGCGAACGGGUGAGUAACACGUGAGUAACCUGCCCUUGACUUUGGGAUAACUUCAGGAAACUGGGGCUAAUACCGGAUAGGAUCUCCUGCUGCAUGGUGGGGGUUGGAAAGUUUCGGCUGUAGGGUAUGGACUCGCGGCUUAUCAGCUUGUUGGUGGGGUAGUUGCUUACCAAGGCUUUGACGGGUAGCCGGCCUGAGAGGGUGACCGGCGACAUGAGGACUGAGAUACGGACCAGACUCCUACGGGAGGCAGCAGGGGGGAAUAUUGCACAAUGAGCGGAAGCGUGAUGCAGAGACGUCGCGUGCGGGAUGACGGCCUUCUGGUUGUAAACAGCUUUCGCCUGUGACGAAGCGGGAGUGACGGUAAUGGAUAAAGAAGCACCGGCUAACUACGUG
RNAcentral lists this ribosomal RNA (468 nucleotides) under uncultured bacterium. RNAcentral's name for it is "partial 16S ribosomal RNA". It matches the Rfam family "Bacterial small subunit ribosomal RNA", at positions 28 to 507 of the family's 1533-position model. The record is from RNAcentral.